GAUGAAGAACGCAGCGAAAUGCGAUAAGUAAUGCGAAUUGCAGAAUUCCAGUGAGUCAUCGAAUCUUUGAACGCACAUUGCGCCCUUUGGUAUUCCGAAGGGCAUGCCUGUUCGAGCGUCAUUAUCACCCCUCAAGCCCUCGGCUUGGUGUUGGACGGUUUGGUGGAGGCCCCCUCGGGGGCUCCUGCCCCUCCCAAAGACAAUGACGGCGGCCUCGUUGGACCCCCGGUACACUGAGUUCUUCACGGGACACGUAUCGGACACAUGGGUUUACGGGACACGGUCUGCCUCCCCUCAGGGAGAAUCUUUCUCAGGUUGACCUCGGAUCAGGUAGGGAUACCCGCUGAACUUAAGCAUAUCAAUAAGCGGAGGA
RNAcentral lists this unclassified non-coding RNA (373 nucleotides) under soil metagenome. RNAcentral's name for it is "partial contains 5.8S ribosomal RNA, internal transcribed spacer 2, and large subunit ribosomal RNA". The stretch from base 1 to 121 matches the Rfam family "5.8S ribosomal RNA", at positions 35 to 154 of the family's 154-position model. The record is from RNAcentral.